GGAUCACAGCCCCCCUCCCCCCCCGCCCCCGCCGUGCGCUUGUAUGCCUGCCAUGAAUGAGACGAGAGGUUGAGAUGGAAGAAGAGUGGAAGAGCGUAUCAGCCUUUUAAUCAUUGAACCUGCGAUUAGCUCCACUUGCGCUACUCAUCAAUGGACAUCCAAUCAGUGAUCGAGUUCUUAGGCGGGGUCCCGCUGCUGCAGAAACUUCCGAGAUCGUCCCUCCAGAAGAUCGCCGAAGCCGUCAGAGUCAGACACUACGGGGAAGGAGAGUACGUGGUCCACGAAGGAGAUGUCGGAGAAGGGUUGUAUUUCAUCUGGGAAGGGGAGGCGGAGGUCUCUGGACUUGUUGAUUCCGAGGACCCUGAUUUUCACUUGAGCAAGUAUGAUUACUUUGGUCAUGGUACUGCCACGACUGUCCACAUGGCCAAUGUGAUCGCCCUAUCAAAGCUGACCUGUUUGGUGCUACCCCUUGAGCAUUGUACUUUGCUUCAGACAAAAUCAAUUUGGAAUGCAGAUGAACAAAUUGAAAAACGGUCACUGGUGGAGCAGAUUCUACACCUUGAGCCAAUAGAGGUUAAUAUAUUCCAAGGGUUCACCUUGCCAGAUGCUCCAACAUUUGGAAAGGUCUUUGGUGGGCAGUUCAUUGCACAGGCGGCAGCUGCAGCGUCAAAAACUGUGGAUUGUCUCAAGGUUAUCCAUAGUUUGCAUGUCUAUUUUCUACUAGUGGGAGACAUCAACAUGCCAAUUGUAUAUGAGGUUCAUCGGUUGCGUGAUGGCAAAAGUUUUGCAACUAGGAGAGUAGAGGCAAUACAAAGAGGAACAGUCGUAUUCACAUUGUUUGCUUCAUUUCAGACAGAGGAAGAAGGAUUUGAUCAUCAGGUUGGAACCAUGCCAUCAGUUCCUGCUCCAGAGACGCUUCUAUCAAUGGAACAAUUACGUGAAAGGCGUCUUAUUGAUCCUCGCCUACCAAGGAGUUACCGAAACAAAGUGGCCACAACUAAAUUCAUCCCUUGGCCCAUAGAAAUACGAUUUUGUGAGCCUAGCAAUGCCACAAAUCAGACUGAGACCCCUCCAAGUGUAAGGUAUUGGUUCAGAGCAAAAGGAAAAUUAUCAGAUGACCAAGCUUUACACAGAUGUGUGGUUGCAUUUGCAUCAGAUUUGAUAUUCCUGGGCACGAGCCUGAACCCUCAUCGCAGAAAAGGCUUAAAGACAUAUUGUGUCAGCCUUGACCAUUCGUGAGUAUUUGCUCGUCUCUUUUCUGCACCAAAAUCUCUACAGAAGUAACAACCAUGAAAGAAGCUUUACCUAAUCAAACAUUAUUUGAGUUUGGAUGUGGUUCCACCGGCCCCUACGAGCUGAUGACUGGAUUUUGUUUGAUAUUCUAACCCCAACUGCACACAAUGCACGUGGCUUUGUAUCGGGUCAAAUGUUCAACAGGAACGGAGAGCUUCUUGUAACAUUAUGUCAGGAGGGCUUAAUUAGGGAGGCGAAAACAUCAAAUCCACCAUCCAGAUCGAAGCUCUGAUCCCCAUCCAGAUGGAAGCUCGGAUUCGGGAUGCACUGGGACCUCACCUAUUCUGCAUAUUAGGGGAAAAAGGUUAUUGUUAUAUAAUCUUGAGUGAUCUUUUUAAAUGUAUAUGUAUACGUGACAAAUUACUUCUCUCUAGGCUUAAGAUUAUUUUCUUGGCCAGUCGGCUUCAAAUUAGUGGGUGAACGAAUAAAUUUAGAUCCCAAUCGUUGUUUGAGAUCUUCCAUUUGACCCUUAAUCGUACAAGAGUUCUUAGUCUGCA
This is a non-coding RNA of Punica granatum (pomegranate), 1790 nucleotides long. Lineage: Eukaryota; Viridiplantae; Streptophyta; Magnoliopsida; Myrtales; Lythraceae. The record is from RefSeq and is a predicted model, not a curated record.